RNAcentral lists this ribosomal RNA (496 nucleotides) under uncultured bacterium. RNAcentral describes it as "partial 16S ribosomal RNA". It matches the Rfam family "Bacterial small subunit ribosomal RNA", at positions 29 to 507 of the family's 1533-position model. The record is from RNAcentral.
AACGAACGCUGGCGGCGCGUCUUAAGCAUGCAAGUCGAACGGCAAGAGAGGAGCUUGCUUCUCUCCUAGAGUGGCGGACUGGUGAGGAACACGUGGGUAAUCUACCCUUAAGAUGGGGAUAGCUGCUAGAAAUAGCAGGUAAUACCGAAUACACUCGGCAUAUCACAAGAGGUGUUGAGGAAAGGAAGCUACGGCUUCGCUUGAGGAUGAGCUUGCGUCCCAUUAGCUAGUUGGUGAGGUAAAGGCCCACCAAGGCGACGAUGGGUAUCCGGCCUGAGAGGGUGAACGGACACAUUGGGACUGAGAUACGGCCCAAACUCCUACGGGAGGCAGCAGCUAAGAAUAUUCCGCAAUGGACGGAAGUCUGACGGAGCGACGCCGCGUGGAUGAAGAAGGCUGAAAAGUUGUAAAAUCCUUUUGUUGAUGAAGAAUAAGGGUGAGAGGGAAUGCUCAUCUGAUGACGGUAAUCGACGAAUAAGCCCCGGCUAAGUACGUG